GAUGAACGCUAGCUACAGGCUUAACACAUGCAAGUCGAGGGGAAACGACAUCGGAAGCUUGCUUUUGAUGGGCGUCGACCGGCGCACGGGUGAGUAACGCGUAUCCAACCUGCCCACCACUUGGGGAUAACCUUGCGAAAGUAAGACUAAUACCCGAUGAUAUCUCUAGACGACAUCUGAAAAGGGGAUUAAAGAUUUAUCGGUGAUGGAUGGGGAUGCGUCUGAUUAGCUUGUUGGCGGGGUAACGGCCCACCAAGGCAACGAUCAGUAGGGGGUUCUGAGAGGAAGGUCCCCCACAUUGGAACUGAGACACGGUCCAAACUCCUACGGGAGGCAGCAGUGAGGAAUAUUGGUCAAUGGGCGAGAGCCUGAACCAGCCAAGUAGCGUGCAGGACGACGGCCCUAUGGGUUGUAAACUGCUUUUAUAAGGGAAUAAAGUGAGUCUCGUGAGACUUUUUGCAUGUACCUUAUGAAUAAGGACCGGCUAAUUCCGUG
This 495-nucleotide ribosomal RNA is filed under the name uncultured bacterium. RNAcentral's name for it is "bacterial SSU rRNA". It matches the Rfam family "Bacterial small subunit ribosomal RNA", at positions 28 to 507 of the family's 1533-position model. The record is from RNAcentral.